AUGGACUGCUUCUUGACACGUGGAUACCUAAAGGGCUCUAGGAAUGUGCAGUUGCUGGGCAUUGCCUGCAUCACCCUAGCCACCCACAUUGAAGAGAACCAGCCAUACAAUAGUAUCCCUGCAACAAAAGAAGCCUCAGAUAAAUGCAUCCUUUUAAUUCAGGUCCAAGUUCUAUGUCCUUCCAUAAGGGCAGCCCCAGUGAAUGUAGCUCCCGCUUGCGCAGGGUCCGGGGAAGGGUCCGACCACUUUGGGUCUAUUAAGUCUUUCAUGGUGGGGAUCAACCUUUACAGCCGGAGCAAGGUCAUCGCCAUGGAGUGGCUGGUUCAGGAGGUCCUAGACUUCCAAUGCUUCGUCAUGAUAGUCCACAAUUUUCUCUGGUUCUAUCUGAAGGCAGCAAAAGCAGACGACAAAGUCGAGGAUCUGGCCAAGCACCUGGCCCUGCUCACACUUCUGGACCAUAAGCAUCUCUCCUACUAG
Molecule: ribosomal RNA, 477 nt
Filed under: Triticum aestivum (bread wheat)
Lineage: Eukaryota; Viridiplantae; Streptophyta; Magnoliopsida; Poales; Poaceae
Description: partial small subunit ribosomal RNA
Source: RNAcentral